AUUGAACGCUGGCGGCAGGCCUAACACAUGCAAGUCGAGCGGAAGAAGGGAGCUUGCUCCUGGAUUCAGCGGCGGACGGGUGAGUAAUGCCUAGGAAUCUGCCUGGGAGUGGGGGAUAACGUCCGGAAACGGGCGCUAAUACCGCAUACGUCCUGAGGGAGAAAGUGGGGGAUCUUCGGACCGCACGCUAUCAGAUGAGCCUAGGUCGGAUUAGCUAGUUGGUGGGGUAAAGGCCUACCAAGGCGACGAUCCGUAACUGGUCUGAGAGGAUGAUCAGUGACACUGGAACUGGGACACCGGCCAGACUCCGACGGGAAGCCGCAGUAGGCAAUUUUGGGCGGUAGGCGAAAGGCUGAUUCAGCCAUGCGGCAUGUGUUAAGAAGGUCUUGGGAUUGGAAAGCAGUUGAAGUUGGGAGGAAGGACAGUAUGUUAAGACCUUGCUGUAUUGACGUUACCUAGAGAAUAAGCACCGGCUAACUUCGUG
This 484-nucleotide ribosomal RNA is filed under the name uncultured bacterium. RNAcentral describes it as "partial 16S ribosomal RNA". It matches the Rfam family "Bacterial small subunit ribosomal RNA", at positions 30 to 507 of the family's 1533-position model. The record is from RNAcentral.